ACUGGUCUUCAGUCAAGGGUAAACGAGUAGCUGCACUACCAUGCUAGAACCUCCAAACAAGCUCUCAAGGUCCAUUGUAGGAAUGUAGAGUAGUCAAGCUUAUGUAAUACCCAAAGAACUGUGGACCUUACUGUGGGCCAGGUAACCCACUAGUU
Molecule: small nuclear RNA, 155 nt
Filed under: Rattus norvegicus (Norway rat)
Lineage: Eukaryota; Metazoa; Chordata; Mammalia; Rodentia; Muridae
Description: 7SK RNA
Rfam family: 7SK RNA
About the family: 7SK was discovered as an abundant small nuclear RNA in the mid-70s but a possible function has only recently been suggested. Two independent studies have found that 7SK RNA binds the CDK9/cyclin T complex (known as elongation factor P-TEFb). P-TEFb activates transcription by phosphorylating the C-terminal domain of RNA polymerase II.
Source: Rfam by way of RNAcentral